UUUUUAAUCAUCGAGAUCUUCGGUCCGGAUGAUUUGCAGUUUGUUGGCUUCGCUCAACUUGCCCAUGGAUAAGGAGUGCCAUUGGGCCACUAUCAUUGUGCCUCCACUCGACUUGCUCAUAGGCAAGAAGCCCAUUGGGCCGCUGUCGUCGUGGCCUCUACUCGACUUGCCCAUGGGCAAGGAGUGCCAAUGGGCUGCUGUCAUCGUGGCCUCCACUCGACCAACUAUCACCAUCCUGCAGUCAUCGCUAAGCUCCAGCC
Molecule: long non-coding RNA, 260 nt
Filed under: Elaeis guineensis (African oil palm)
Lineage: Eukaryota; Viridiplantae; Streptophyta; Magnoliopsida; Arecales; Arecaceae
Description: long non-coding RNA (EGUI_LNC037946)
Source: RNAcentral